GACGAACCGUGCGAACGUUAUUCGGAAUCACUGGGCUUAAAGCGCGUGUAGGCGGCCCGGCACGUCAUUGGCUGAAAUCCCCCGGCUCAACCGGGGAAGUGGCCGUGAUACGACCGGGCUGGAGGGGGGUAGGGGGUGCGGGAACUCACGGUGGAGCGGUGAAAUGCGUUGAGAUCGUGAGGAACGCCCGCGGCGAAAGCGCGCACCUGGACCCCACCUGACGCUGAGACGCGAAAGCCAGGGGAGCGAACGGG
This 254-nucleotide ribosomal RNA is filed under the name uncultured bacterium. RNAcentral's name for it is "partial 16S ribosomal RNA". It matches the Rfam family "Bacterial small subunit ribosomal RNA", at positions 524 to 776 of the family's 1533-position model. The record is from RNAcentral.